UCGCGAAUCUUCCCCAAUGGACGAAAGUCUGAGGGAGCGACGCCGCGUGUGGGACGAAGGCCUUCGGGUCGUAAACCACUUUUGUAUGGGACGAAUUUUGACGGUACCAUACGAAUAAGAAGUUGCUAACUCUGUGCCAGCAGCAGCGGUAAUACAGAGACUUCAAGCGUUGUCCGGAUUUAUUGGGCGUAAAGGGUCCGCAGGCGGCAUGGCGCGUCUGGUGUUAAAUCGUUGGGCUCAACUCAACGGCCGCACCGGAUACGGCCACGCUAGAGGUCGGGAGAGGCACACGGAAUUCUCGGUGUAGUCGUAAUAAGCGUUGAUAUCGAGAAGAACACCAAAGGCGAAGGCAGUGUGCUGGAACGAAUCUGACGCUCAGGGACGAAAGCGUGGGGAGCGA
Molecule: ribosomal RNA, 400 nt
Filed under: uncultured bacterium
Lineage: Bacteria
Description: bacterial SSU rRNA
Rfam family: Bacterial small subunit ribosomal RNA
Source: RNAcentral